UACGAAGGGGGCUAGCGUUGUUCGGAAUUACUGGGCGUAAAGCGUGCGCAGGCGGCUUCUCAAGUCAGGGGUGAAAGCCCAGAGCUCAACUCUGGAACUGCCUUUGAGACUGAGAGGCUUGAGUACGGGAGAGGUGAGUGGAAUUCCCAGUGUAGAGGUGAAAUUCGUAGAUAUUGGGAAGAACACCGGUGGCGAAAGCGGCUUCCUGGUCCAGCACCGACGUUCAGGCACGAAAGCGUGGGGAGCAAACAGG
This 253-nucleotide ribosomal RNA is filed under the name uncultured bacterium. Its description in RNAcentral is "partial 16S ribosomal RNA". It matches the Rfam family "Bacterial small subunit ribosomal RNA", at positions 524 to 776 of the family's 1533-position model. The record is from RNAcentral.